RNAcentral lists this long non-coding RNA (635 nucleotides) under Parus major (Great Tit). RNAcentral describes it as "lncRNA (ENSPMJG00000012605.1)". Lineage: Eukaryota; Metazoa; Chordata; Aves; Passeriformes; Paridae. The record is from RNAcentral.
CGCCGAGCGGCCGAGUUCAUCGAUGGCGGGGCUGCCUUUAUGGCGAGCUGUGCGUUCUCCCCGUGUGUAGUUCAGGUCUGAAGGGCCUGGAGAGGAAGCUCCAGUGGCCGCACAAACCCAGCCCUUGGGCUGCUUUUCACCUGGAUUGCCUCUGCCUGCUCUGCCAGCAGGCUGUGCACGGCUGCAGACACUACCUGCGUUCAGCGUGCCUGGGCUGAUGCUCCUGUGUAUCCCACAGGGAUGAGCUUCACUCCCCAAAACCUUUAAUGCAAAGCAGGAUUUUACUCGACGUUCUUCUAGUUUCGUGUCCCGUCCUUCAAAGUCAGUGUAACUGACCAGAAAGCAAAGAUACCCAGCGUUUCUCAGGCGGCACAAAGCACUUGGGGACAGUCAGACCUGAUGGAAGCUCAUGCUGAGCAAUCACAAGAGCUACGAUUUGGGGAUGUGGAUGGAGGGAGCGCGGUUUUGGUCUGGGCUCCGGUAUGGGGAAAGGAAGCUCGCUGUCACUGGAGGCCUGGAAUAGCAGUCAAAAGGAGAGAGAAAUCUGUCAACUGGUUUCUGGAGCAGCACUUCCAAGGUAUUUUCUAAGUACUGGAUUUCAGUCUGAGGACUUGUCUGGCCUAGUAUAAAGCAGG